Arvicola amphibius (Eurasian water vole) is the source of this 623-nucleotide long non-coding RNA. RefSeq lists it as uncharacterized. NCBI's taxonomy places the organism in Eukaryota, Metazoa, Chordata, Mammalia, Rodentia, Cricetidae. The transcript has 3 exons. The record is from RefSeq and is a predicted model, not a curated record.
AGAACAAAGUACAAACUCUCAGGUCUCACAAAGUGGAAGGGAGAACAGGCCAGCUUCUCUGCGCGGCAGGAAUAGCCUGUCAUAAAGAGACCUGCCCCGGCACACGCUUCCAACUUGAAAAGGGUGUGGCGAAGUCUAAACACCUACUGGGGCCAAACAGGGAGGAUGAAAACACAAGACCAGUGUGGGAGCAUCUUUGAGAGCCCUGGUCCAGGCUGCAGCCAGCUGACGUCUUGUAUCUCCACUGGGACUCCGUUGGACCAUACAAUCCCUGCUCUUGAUCUAAUAAGACAUCCUGAACCAAGAAAGAAGCCGGCGUCACCUGAAAAAUCAAAAAGACCUAAUAGAACAAUAAAACCUGCGAGGAGGGGGGAGAGCUCAGUCUCCGUGAGCCACGUUAAACUUUCGGAAUAGAAAAUGCUGCCUUGGACUGCUGAGAACAAACCCAGCGCAGUCUGAGGUGUAGUAACCUCGGCUGUACCUGAGAAGCCUCCGCAGCAAUCACUUGGGAGCUUCUGAGACAAGCUGAGGAUGCGGUCAAAUGCCACAGCGAGCACUGAGGGACCUGAGCAGUUGGUGUUUUGAGUCACUGUGGGUCCGGCACACAACCCACCGCAGCCUAC